RNAcentral lists this ribosomal RNA (497 nucleotides) under uncultured bacterium. Its description in RNAcentral is "partial 16S ribosomal RNA". It matches the Rfam family "Bacterial small subunit ribosomal RNA", at positions 28 to 507 of the family's 1533-position model. The record is from RNAcentral.
GAUGAACGCUGGCGGCGUGCCUAAUACAUGCAAGUAGAACGCUGAAGGAAGGAGCUUGCUCUUUCCGGAUGAGUUGCGAACGGGUGAGUAACGCGUAGGUAACCUGCCUGGUAGCGGGGGAUAACUAUUGGAAACGAUAGCUAAUACCGCAUAACAGUAGAUGUUGCAUGAUAUCUACUUAAAAGGUGCAAUUGCACCACUACCAGAUGGACCUGCGUUGUAUUAGCUAGUUGGUGAGGUAACGGCUCACCAAGGCGACGAUACAUAGCCGACCUGAGAGGGGGAUCGGCCACAAUGGGACUGAGACACGGCCCAGACUCCUACGGGAGGCAGCAGUAGGGAAUCUUCGGCAAUGGACGGAAGUCUGACCGAGCAACGCCGCGGGAGGGAAGAAGGGUUUCGGAUCGUAAAGCUCUGUUGUAAGAGAAGAACGAGUGUGAGAGUGGAAAGUUCACACUGUGACGGUAUCUUACCAGAAAGGGACGGCUAACUACGUG